Molecule: long non-coding RNA, 916 nt
Organism: Siniperca chuatsi (mandarin fish)
Lineage: Eukaryota; Metazoa; Chordata; Actinopteri; Centrarchiformes; Sinipercidae
Exons: 4
Source: RefSeq, a predicted model, not a curated record
GCCGGAGGAUGACGAGAAGUGGAGUUUAAACCGAGGAGAAGUCAGUUUAGUCAUCUUUUUAAUGACAUUUUAUAUUUGACAUUGCUGUUAGCCAGCGGAUGCAUUAAACUGAGGAAAAUUACAUGAAGGCUGGAGCCAGCCAGUCUGCUCCCAUCAGCCUCAUACAGGCCUGCACCAAAAUACACCCAGAAUAUUUACAGGGGAGCUCCCACCGAGAGACACCGCGCAGCCGAGGACUUACCGGAACCUGCAGUGUACAAACACCCGGGGGGUGUGGGGGGAGGCCGGUUGUGCAGUUGGAGACAAGCAGAGACUUUCACCUAUUUCACUUGAAACGCGUUCUGCAAGAUGUGAAAGAAGAUAAAAGACAAAUAUGAAGAUUUCGAUCAGAGGAAACGGUUGAAUGGAUCAUAACCCUGGAUUUCUUUCAACAACCAAACGUGAGAUUUGAUCUCAGCACAGGAAAAGUUUUGCUGUGAGUCUGCCUGUUUGGAGGAGAGGAACUACAACACAUUCAGGAGUUUGCCAACAAACAAACGGAUGCAAUUAAACACACUCGCCUUCAGAUCAUCAAUGAGGAGGCAAAGUCAAGACUGGUGGAAAAACAGACAAGGACAAACAUAAGACGGGAGAAGACUCUGCUGCCUCAAGGUUAAACUUGAACUGUGUAAAGAACUCGUCUUUGCACAAUCUGGAUAGUCUUCUUCAAAGACACAUCACUAGCUGUUUUUUUUUAUUUGAAAUGUCCUCAUUUUACAACUUGAUAUAACUCUUAAUUGAUGUUAUAUUUUGGUAUCAUUGCUGAAGAAUUAAAUUAUGUUUAUUUAUUAUCAUAUUCCUGUUUCUCUGCCUCUGCACUGCCUUGGAAGUAGUUAAAAAAAUAUUGCAAAUAAAGACUAUCAUUGUCAAAUCAUCA